GCUGGGGUUCCCGAGUUGUUCAAAGGGGGGAGACUUAAGUUCUCUUGCGUUACGUUCGGGGGUUCGAACCCCACCCCCAGCA
RNAcentral lists this transfer RNA (82 nucleotides) under Trypanosoma congolense IL3000. Its description in RNAcentral is "transfer RNA-Leu". It matches the Rfam family "tRNA". From Rfam's summary of the family: Transfer RNA (tRNA) molecules are approximately 80 nucleotides in length. Lineage: Eukaryota; Euglenozoa; Kinetoplastea; Trypanosomatida; Trypanosomatidae. The record is from RNAcentral.